This 472-nucleotide ribosomal RNA is filed under the name uncultured bacterium. RNAcentral describes it as "partial 16S ribosomal RNA". It matches the Rfam family "Bacterial small subunit ribosomal RNA", at positions 28 to 507 of the family's 1533-position model. The record is from RNAcentral.
GACGAACGCUGGCGGCGUGCUUAACACAUGCAAGUCGAACGCUGAAGCUUGGUGCUUGCACUGGGUGGAUGAGUGGCGAACGGGUGAGUAAUACGUGAGUAACCUGCCCUUGACUCUGGGAUACGCCUGGGAAACUGGGUCUAAUACUGGAUACGACAUGUCACCGCAUGGUUGUGUGUGGUAAGGGUUUUACUGGUUUUGGAUGGGCUCACGGCCUAUCAGCUUGUUGGUGGGGUAAUGGCUCACCAAGGCGACGACGGGUAGCCGGCCUGAGAGGGUGACCGGCCACACUGGGACUGAGACACGGCCCAGACUCCUACGGGAGGCAGCAGUGGGGAAUAUUGCACAAUGGGCGGAAGCCUGAUGCAGCGACGCCGCGUGAGGGAUGACGGCCUUCGGGUUGUAAACCUCUUUCAGCACGGAAGAAGCGAAAGUGACGGUACGUGCAGAAGAAGCGCCGGCUAACUACGUG